CGAACGCUGGCGGCAGGCCUAACACAUGCAAGUCGAACGCGAACGGUCCUUCGGGACUUAUUAGAGUGGCGGACGGGUGAGUAACACGUGGGAAUAUGCCUUUCGGUAGGGAACAACGCCUGGAAACGGGUGCUAAUACCCUAUACGCCCCCUGGGGGAAAGAUUUAUCGCCGAAAGAUUAGCCCGCGCUGGAUUAGCUAGAUGGUGAGGUAAGAGCUCACCAUGGCGACGAUCCAUAGCUGGUUUGAGAGGAUGAUCAGCCACACUGGGACUGAGACACGGUCCAGACUUCUACGGAAGGCAGCAGUUGGGAAUUUUCCGCAAUGGGCGAAAGCCUGACGGAGCAAUACCGCGUGAGGGAAGAAUGCCUGUGGGUUGUAAACCUCUUUUCUUAAGGAAGAAGUUCUGACGGUACUUAAGGAAUAAGCAUCGGCUAACUCCGUGCCAGCAGCCGCGGUAAU
RNAcentral lists this ribosomal RNA (461 nucleotides) under uncultured bacterium. Its description in RNAcentral is "bacterial SSU rRNA". It matches the Rfam family "Bacterial small subunit ribosomal RNA", at positions 30 to 524 of the family's 1533-position model. The record is from RNAcentral.